This 310-nucleotide long non-coding RNA is filed under the name Theobroma cacao (cacao). RNAcentral describes it as "long non-coding RNA (TCAC_LNC004675)". Lineage: Eukaryota; Viridiplantae; Streptophyta; Magnoliopsida; Malvales; Malvaceae. The record is from RNAcentral.
AAAACACAAAAAAAAAAAAAAAUCCCAUCAUUUUCUAUUUAGUUUCAAAAAAACCUGUCCCUAUUCUUUUGUUUCUCUAAAGUUGUGAUUGAAUAACAAGAGGAGAGGGAAACAAAAAAGACAAAAAAAAUCCAAAAAAAAGGGAAGAAAACAAAAAAAAACAAGAAGAGGUAGGGUUAGGGUUUUCGUCGAUGGCGCAGAUUCAGGUUCAGCAUCAGCCGCCGGUUUCCGGGCCAAACGGCGUCGCUCCAGGACCCGGAGGAGCGCAGUUCAUGCCAACGUCGCUCUAUGUUGGGGAUCUUGAUGUUAC